RNAcentral lists this ribosomal RNA (253 nucleotides) under uncultured bacterium. RNAcentral describes it as "partial 16S ribosomal RNA". It matches the Rfam family "Bacterial small subunit ribosomal RNA", at positions 524 to 776 of the family's 1533-position model. The record is from RNAcentral.
UACGUAGGGGGCAAGCGUUGUCCGGAUUUAUUGGGCGUAAAGAGCGUGUAGGCGGCUAGAUAGGUCCGUUGUGAAAACUCGAGGCUCAACCUCGAGACGCCGGUGGAAACCAUCUAGCUAGAGUCCGGAAGAGGAGAGUGGAAUUCCUGGUGUAGCGGUGAAAUGCGCAGAUAUCAGGAAGAACACCCGUGGCGAAGGCGGGAUCCUGGGCCAGUACUGACGCUGAGGAGCGAAAGCGUGGGGAGCAAACAGG